This 538-nucleotide transfer RNA is filed under the name uncultured cyanobacterium. RNAcentral describes it as "partial 16S-23S ribosomal RNA intergenic spacer". The stretch from base 211 to 283 matches the Rfam family "tRNA". Lineage: Bacteria; Bacillati; Cyanobacteriota. The record is from RNAcentral.
CAGGGAGACAACAAAAUGUUUAAUAUUAUUAUUUUGUCACCUUAAGUCGAUCGGUAUCUCACAUCCUAAUUUAUUAAGGAUUUCAUUUCCUAAGUUUUUCUAGGUCACACCCAUUAUUUUUCCUGGGCCAUUAGCUCAGGUGGUUAGAGCGCACCCCUGAUAAGGGUGAGGUCCCUGGUUCAAGUCCAGGAUGGCCCAUAUCUCUAUGUUGGGGGUAUAGCUCAGUUGGUAGAGCGCCUGCUUUGCAAGCAGGAUGUCAGCGGUUCGAGUCCGCUUACCUCCACUGAUUACCACCUCUUCCAUAAUCUGUAGAAAGGAAAAUUUUUGAGUUGUGAUCAUAAAUCUGAACGAAUCUAGCUUCCUAAUGAAACAUUAAGAUGCUGGACUCAUUGAAUUAAUUUCAUUGUUUUCAGAGAACCUUGACAACUGCAUAGAUUAUUUUUAAAGACAAUAAGCAUCUUUAUGAUGCAGAUUUAUUAUUUGUGCGAAUGCAUUAAUAACAAUUCUAUUAAGCUGAUGCUUCAAUUUUGAAGUUAUU